AACGAACGCUGGCGGCGUGGAUGAGGCAUGCAAGUCGAGCGAGAUCCGCGGGGGCAACUCUGCGGUGACAGCGGCGAACGGGUGAGCAAUACUUGAGCAAUCUACCCUGAAGACCGGAAUAGCUUCUGGAAACGGAUGGUAAUACCGGAUGUUGUCGCUCCGCGAUGCGGAGUCGUCCAAAGGCGGGGACCCGCAAGGGCCCGUCACUUCGGGAUGAGCUCAAGUCCUAUCAGCUAGUUGGUGGGGUAACGGCCCACCAAGGCUUAGACGGGUAGCUGGUCUGAGAGGAUGGUCAGCCACACUGGGACUGAGACACUGCCCAGACUCCUACGGGAGGCUGCAGUCGAGGAUCUUUCACAAUGCCCGAAAGGGUGAUGAUGCGACGCCGCGUGGAGGAUGAAGGCCUUCGGGUUGUAAACUCCUGUCAUGAGGGAUGAAAUGUGGGGAUGCUAACAGUAUCCUCACUUGACGGUACCUCAAGAGGAAGCCACGGCUAACUCUGUG
Molecule: ribosomal RNA, 504 nt
Filed under: uncultured organism
Description: bacterial SSU rRNA
Rfam family: Bacterial small subunit ribosomal RNA
Source: RNAcentral